RNAcentral lists this ribosomal RNA (499 nucleotides) under uncultured bacterium. Its description in RNAcentral is "partial 16S ribosomal RNA". It matches the Rfam family "Bacterial small subunit ribosomal RNA", at positions 28 to 507 of the family's 1533-position model. The record is from RNAcentral.
GACGAACGCUGGCGGCGUGCUUAACACAUGCAAGUCGAACGGGCCUGUCUUCUUUUUUGGGGGUGGGUUGAGUGGCGAACGGGUGAGUAUCACGUGAGUAACCUGCCCUUCGGUCCUGGAUAACCGCUUGAAAGGGCGGCUAAUACGGGGUGGUCCGGUUGGUCCGCAUGGGCUGGUCGGGAUAGAUUCACUGUUUUUGGUGUUUCGGCGGGGGAUGGGCUCGCGGCCUAUCAGCUUGUUGGUGGGGUGAUGGCCUACCAAGGCGGUGACGGGUAGCCGGCCUGAGAGGGUGGGCGGCCACACUGGGACUGAGAUACGGCCCAGACUCCUGCGGGAGGCAGCAGCGGGGGGUAUUGCACAAUGGGCGGAAGCCUGAUGCAGCGACGUCGCGUGAGGGAGGGAGGCCUUCGGGUUGUGAACCUCUGUUUCCGGUGGUGAAGGCCCUGUCCGUGUGGUGGGGUUGACGGUAGCCGGGGAUGAAGCGCCGGCUAACUACGUG